AAAUAGGUAGGUUAUUUAAACCUUUGAGUUGUGGUCUCAAAAAUACUGUAGAGUCCUAAUUC
This 62-nucleotide transfer RNA is filed under the name Placobdella parasitica. RNAcentral describes it as "transfer RNA Histidine". The record is from RNAcentral. Lineage: Eukaryota; Metazoa; Annelida; Clitellata; Rhynchobdellida; Glossiphoniidae.